This 127-nucleotide ribosomal RNA is filed under the name Sorex araneus (European shrew). The record is from RNAcentral. Lineage: Eukaryota; Metazoa; Chordata; Mammalia; Eulipotyphla; Soricidae.
UUUGUCAAGCAUACUACCCUGAAUGUGCCUGCUUUUGUCUGAUCUCAGAGCUAAGCAGGGUCAGGCCUAGUUAGUACCUGGAUGAGAGAAAUGCAUACAUUUAUAUCAUGGAAAGUUUUUCACACAU